AGUCAUAGUCCAUGGCUGUUUGUGUGUUUGUAAAUUCUUCAUUUAUUCUGCACUCUGGGUGGACACUCGGGUGGCAGGUAGCCUAGUGGUUAGAGUGUAGAGGUGGCAGGUAGCCUAGUGGUUAGAGGUGGCAGGUAGCCUAGUGGUUAGAGGUGGCAGGUAGCCUAGUGGUUAGAGGUGGCAGGUAGCCUAGUGGUUAGAGGUGGCAGGUAGCCUAGUGGUUAGAGGUGGCAGGUAGCCUAGUGGUUAGAGGUGGCAGGUAGCCUAGUGGUUAGAGGUGGCAGGUAGCCUAGUGGUUAGAGGUGGCAGGUAGCCUAGUGGUUAGAGGUGGCAGGUAGCCUAGUGGUUAGAGGUGGCAGGUAGCCUAGUGGUUAGAGGUGGCAGGUAGCCUAGUGGUUAGAGGUGGCAGGUAGCCUAGUGGUUAGAGUGGUGGCAGGUAGCCUAGUGGUUAGAGGUGGCAGGUAGCCUAGUGGUUAGAGGUGGCAGGUAGCCUAGUGGUUAGAGGUGGCAGGUAGCCUAGUGGUUAGAGGUAGCCUAGUGGUUAGAGGUGGCAGGUAGCCUAGUGGUUAGAGGUGGCAGGUAGCCUAGUGGUUAGAGGUGGCAGGUAGCCUAGUGGUUAAAGCGUUGGACUUGUAACUGAAAGGUUGCAAGAUCGAAUCCAUGAGCUGACAAGGUAAAACAUAUGUUGUUCUGCUCCUGAACAAGGCAGUUAACCCACCUGUUCCUAGGCAGUUAUUGAAAAUAAGAAUGUGUUCUUAACUAACUUGCCUAGUUAAAUAAAUGUUUAAAAAAAACACUCAGACGAGUACUCUGAAA
This is a long non-coding RNA of Oncorhynchus nerka (sockeye salmon), 816 nucleotides long. RefSeq lists it as uncharacterized. The record is from RefSeq and is a predicted model, not a curated record. The transcript has 2 exons. NCBI's taxonomy places the organism in Eukaryota, Metazoa, Chordata, Actinopteri, Salmoniformes, Salmonidae.